CCCUUAGAUGUUCUGGGCUGCACACGUGCUACACUGGCAGGUUCAGCGAGCUUCAUGCCCUGAUCUGAAAGGAAUGGGAAAUCUUUUCAAAACCUGCCGUGCUUGGGAUAGAUGUUUGCAAUUAUUCAUCUUCAACGAGGAUUGCCUUGUAAGCGCACGUCAUCAGCGUGCAUUGAAUACGACCCUGUAUUCUGUACACACCGCCCGUCGCUCCUACCGAUUAAAGUUUUCGGUGAGUUGACAGGAGGAUUUUUUUGAAACUGGUUCGCCAGUGGAUUUUAGAUCCAAAUGCCAACGAAUCGAUGGCUUUAGAGGAAGGAGAAGUCGUAACA
RNAcentral lists this ribosomal RNA (332 nucleotides) under uncultured eukaryote. Its description in RNAcentral is "partial 18S ribosomal RNA". It matches the Rfam family "Eukaryotic small subunit ribosomal RNA", at positions 1470 to 1796 of the family's 1831-position model. The record is from RNAcentral.